UCCCUGAUAGCUCAGUUGGUAAAGAAUCUGCUUGCAAUGCAGAAGACCCCAGUUCAAUUCCUGGGUUGGGAA
RNAcentral lists this transfer RNA (72 nucleotides) under Bos taurus (domestic cattle). It matches the Rfam family "tRNA". From Rfam's summary of the family: Transfer RNA (tRNA) molecules are approximately 80 nucleotides in length. Their secondary structure includes four short double-helical elements and three loops (D, anti-codon, and T loops). Further hydrogen bonds mediate the characteristic L-shaped molecular structure. tRNAs have two regions of fundamental functional importance: the anti-codon, which is responsible for specific mRNA codon recognition, and the 3' end, to which the tRNAs corresponding amino acid is attached (by aminoacyl-tRNA synthetases). tRNAs cope with the degeneracy of the genetic code in two manners: having more than one tRNA (with a specific anti-codon) for a particular amino acid; and 'wobble' base-pairing, i.e. permitting non-standard base-pairing at the 3rd anti-codon position. The record is from Rfam by way of RNAcentral. RNAcentral also lists the same sequence under 4 other names. Lineage: Eukaryota; Metazoa; Chordata; Mammalia; Artiodactyla; Bovidae.